Molecule: non-coding RNA, 2549 nt
Organism: Camellia sinensis
Lineage: Eukaryota; Viridiplantae; Streptophyta; Magnoliopsida; Ericales; Theaceae
Source: RefSeq, a predicted model, not a curated record
UCUCUGUAUAACCUUCCAUGUCAAGUCUUCGGUUACAAGUAACAAAGUCCUCAACCUAUUCAUUCCUUUGAUAUUUCAGUGUCAUUCAACACUACUACUACUACUACUACUACUACUUCCAUUCCGUCUCAUCUCAUCUUUAUUUUCUCAUCUUCAUCCAUCACUUUGAUCCCAAAUCUUUCUUCUAUUUUGUUUUUGGUCUUGAGAAUUUGUUCUUGAUCAUGGAUGCUGAUGAGGUAGUCAUGCUCAAGCAAGAUGGUUCAAAUUAUCCCAACUGGUCACACUUUAUGAGCCAGCACAUGAUCCAAACACGCAGACAACUUUGGGACUAUGUUUGCGGCAUUGUAACAGAGCCCAAUCCAGGCCAUGAAAACUUCACAAGUCUCUCUCAACAAUGGAAAACUAAGAAUGCAGAGAUCUUGAACAUGAUCUGUACAUAUGUACUCAAUCCUUCAGUUUCAAUUCAAUUACGGAGCUUCAAAUCAGGCAAAGAGGCUUGGGACUACUUGGCUGAGCUAUAUGGUCACUCCAAUUUUGCCAAAAAGUAUCAAUUGGAGACUCAGAUUAGAGCAACCAAACAAGGAGAUAGAACAAUCAAGGAGUUACAUGGUGUGAUGGUUGGUUUGUGGAAUCAACAAGCCAAGCUUGAGGAUAGAGAUUUGAGUUUGCUAAGCAGUUACAAAAAGAAUCAAGAUGAACAACGUCUUGUGCAGUUUCUUAUUGCUUUGAGAGAUGAAUUUGAGCCGAUUAGAAAGUCUAUACUGUGUCGAUUAUUUCUACCGAGUGUUGAGAAAGCUGUUAGGGAGUUGGAAGAAGAGGAGAUGAGGCUUAAGCCUUCAAUUGUCUCUGAAUUUUCCAAUCUCUCCAUCAAAACAGAAGACAGUUUUCAGAUAGGAAAAGUCAAGUAUGAUUAUAGUGGUGGAUUUGAUCAGUCACACAAAUUCAACAAGCCAUCUUCAUCUCGGGAUAGGUCUGCUAUGUAUUCUUCUUCUUCAGUGACAGAAACUAAUGAUUGGCCUUCUUUCCUGGGAGGUUUGGCCAAAGUUGCCAUUGCAUCAUUUGCUGCAGUACAGGCUUCUCGGACACUGUAUAAUUACUAUACUGAACCUGGAACGGAAUUGAAGAUUUUGAGUUAUAAUGUUUGUUUCCGAGAAGACUUGGAAAUUCAUAAGAGGAUGAAAGCUGUGGGUGACCUUAUUCAGAUGCAUUCCCCUGAUCUGAUAUGCUUCCAGGAGGUUACUUUCAAAAUCUAUGACAUUUUUCAACAAUCCAGCUGGUGGAAAUUGUACCGUUGCUCAGUUUCAAGUGUGAUGGCAUAUACAAAACCAUCCUUCUGCAUGCAGUUAAGUAAACUACCAGUAAAUUCAUACAGCCGUAAACCAUUCAGUAAUUCCACAAUGGAUAGAGAACUUUGCGUUGCUGAGGUUGAAGUUCAGGCAGACAUGCCAUUGGUUGUUGCCACUAGCCAUCUUAAAGGUCCUGGUCCUGGCCCUCGCAAUUGGGAUCAGUCGUUCAGCAAGGAACGUGUUGAUCAGGCAAAGGAAGCGCUGACCUUUCUUAAAAAAAAUGUAAACGUGAUUUUUUGUGGUGACAUGAAUUGGGAUGACGAUUUGGAUGGUCAAUUUCCUUUGCUCAAUGGAUGGGUUGAUGCCUGGGUGCAGUUAAAGCCAAGAGAAAAUGGAUGGACAUAUGAUACCAAAUCCAACAAGAUGCUUAAUGAUGAUUGGCCUGUGCAAAAGCGACUUGAUCGAUUUGUAUGCAAUUUGCGUGAUUUCAAGAUAAGAGGAAUAGACAUGAUUGGCAUGGAGGCAAUACCAGGUCUAUCAUAUUGGAAGAAAGGGAAAAACAAUGUGGACAAACGGCCCGUGUUUCCUAGUGAUCAUUAUGGGUUGCUAUUAACAAUCUGUGCCAAGUAAUGCUAGUUAAGUGGCCAUAUCUAAGCAGGCAAGCAGAGUGCUGAUUGUGUUUUUGUGCUCUUCAAUGUGCCAAGGCAACUAUAUUGUUACAUUGACAAACAAUCCUCUGAAUCUUGAGGUCCGUGUGAUUGCUGUCAACAUGUCAGAAAAGCAAUCUUCACUUCAAGUCAUAUGCCGCUGCUGCAACAAUGGAAACAUGUUAUGGGAUUUCAGUUCUAGUUAUAUCCUUAAGCGGGGAACGUGUAGGUCAGGCGAAGCAGGCUCUUAACCACCUUAAUGAUUCUACAACCUGAAUGACUUCAAAUUGAAGCAAAUUGAGAUGAUUGGAAAGGAGACAAUACAGGGGGCUGUCAUAUUGCAAGGUGAAGAAAGAAAGAAGAUUCAGAGUUUGGAGCUUCCUGUUUUGUCUAGUGAUAACUAUGGCCUACUCUUAGAGGUUCAAAGCCAGUAAAAACUAGUAGAAACCAGAGUAUGGUUUGGCAAUGUGUGGUAUAUAUAUGUGUUGCAUUAUUAAGUGGAAUAUGAUCUUAAUUAUGUUGUGGGUAUUGUAUAUAAUUAUAAUUAUGUUGUAACAUCCCAAACCACGUAACCAAUGUAACAAUGUUCAUCAUUGGACUUUGUGUCAUGUUGAGU